UAUUAUUUUUGAUGUUAAUUAUUUAACUUGAGUAGUAAUAGUUAUGGUCUUGAAACUUAAAGAAUUUGGCAGUAUUUUAUUCUGUUCAGAGGAACCUGUUCUUUUAUCGAUAAUCCUCGUUGGACCUUACUUAAUUUAUUGAUUUGUAUACCGCCGUUUUAUUGAGGAUCUUUAUAGUGUUUUUAAUUUUCUGGUUUUUAUUUUAAAUUAUUUCAGGUCAAGGUGCAAUUUAUGGUUAAGUAGAAAUGGGUUACGUUUAUAUUUACUUUUGAAUUAUUAAAUGGAAUUUUAAUAUGAAAAUGGAUUUGAAUGUAAUUAUUAUUUUAGAUUGUAUUAGUGAUUUAGUUUCUGGAAUGUGUACACAUCGCCCGUCGCUCUCGUUAUUUAUUCGAG
This 393-nucleotide ribosomal RNA is filed under the name Cryptocercus weixiensis. Its description in RNAcentral is "partial 12S small subunit ribosomal RNA". The record is from RNAcentral. Lineage: Eukaryota; Metazoa; Arthropoda; Insecta; Blattodea; Cryptocercidae.